This is a long non-coding RNA of Panicum hallii, 1735 nucleotides long. RefSeq lists it as uncharacterized. The record is from RefSeq and is a predicted model, not a curated record. The transcript is spliced from 4 exons. NCBI's taxonomy places the organism in Eukaryota, Viridiplantae, Streptophyta, Magnoliopsida, Poales, Poaceae.
CCUGACUAACAGGCCACUCCUCUGCUGCGUUAGCAAUUAUGAUGGUAGCCCGCACUCAUACUCCCUCUCAGCGCACCUCCGUCGAUGAGUGUGGUCCAAGUCUACUGUGACCCCGCGCGUACCUGGCGAACCAAAGGUCCGAAGGGGUGCGGACCAACCAAGUGUCGUACGCCGUGCGCUUUGUCUUGCGAGCCAUGGAUGCUGCCGCUAGGAGCGAGAAGCUAUCCCGGCGUUGUCGUCCUCACCGCGCUCGGCAGCCACGCCCUCCGUCGAAGCUUCGUCCUGCUGCUCCGGCGCAGAGCCCUCUUUGAGCUCGGCCUCAGCCUCUUCACCCCCCCUCCCCCCCCCCCCCCCCCGCGUCGCGCUGGCCACGCCGAGCCGCUAGGGCCCCGCUAGCUGCCAUCCGCCUGCCCGCCGAGCCUUGCCUGCCCCGCUUCCGCUCCUCUGGGCUGCAACCCGCGCGGGCCAUGCCGCCGGCUGCAGUUUCGUCUAGCCGUCGAGCCACGGUGACCAUGCCGCCACUACCCCGCCCGGCCACGAGGAGCGAGGACAGCUAGGCCGGUACGCUCUCGGUCCCCGCGCUGAGCCGAGUGCUGCCGUCGGGUCAGGCGGAGCGUACUUGGGUUCCGCAAUGGCAACGUCGGCGCUGUCGAUGGGCGCGGCAACCGUGGCCACGGCAUCCAGUAUCACGGAGCGGUGCCCCUCGGCUGCCACCUGUGCCUCGUGUCCUUAUCUAUCUACUCAGUUCGGUUCAGAGACUCCUCGCUCCCUCUCCCAGUCCCAAUCCCUAGCCAGAUCUGAGGUGUCCUCUCUUUUAACACUUGAGCUGUUCCCUGUUCGAAACCUACUCCCCGUAUCGGUGGCGUGCUGCCGGUCAUAAUGGUGUUAGCGAUCUCAUACCACGAAAUACCACGAAAGGGGCUCUAUACGUGCUUCCUUGCAUCUAACGUCCGAAACCAGAGAGGAUCGUGAACAGGAGCAGCAGGAUUUAAACCUUUUCAGAAACUCUGAAUGUUUUUGAACAGCUGGUUACACAAGGGUGGUAGAGGUACUGCUGUGGAUAAAGUACCGUCUUUCUUGCAAUAUAUGUGCUCAUUAAGAGCUACCCUAGAUUUUGCUGCUAUGUGACCCAAGGUUUUGCUGCUGUGCGAGCAAACAAGCGGAAGCAAUCGAGAGAAGAAGAUAACGGUGUAGAUUUUGCUGCUGUGUGACCCUCCGCCUCUCCCCUGACGCCAUCGUGCUGUCCCUUCCUACAGCAGCCGUGAAACAACGGCUGGCGUCCUCGGCUUGCAAUUUCGGACGCGUCGACUUCCCCCAAAAAGUCGAGAUGGCUGCUUGUCAAAUCCAAAUCGCAGUAGAAACCAAGGGCGAUGUCUAUACCGUGCCGCAUCACGUCAGCGGAUUCGAGAGGCAGCGGACGGCGGCGCCGGCGGCUCCGGUGGCGUCAGCAUCCCGGAGACAGCGCAACUUGCCGGAGGCGGACGAAAGGACGGGACCGGCCCGAAUUUACCAAAUCGGGCUGUGACGCCAAGAACAGAGAGGAUGGAUCGAGUUCUCCAGACCAGACCCCCUGUUGGCUGCUGCUACUUGCUAUGCCCUUUCUUUCUUCCCCUUUGGGAAGACGCUUCGGUCUGUUAGCGUGAGGUCACUGCCUGCCGGAUUGUUCCAGCUAUCCGAGCAGAUAUUUCUCUCUAAUUACGUACACGGAUACUUCAGGAAGGCACCUCUCGAUCAA